AAAUUGAAGAGUUUGAUCAUGGCUCAGAUUGAACGCUGGCGGCAGGCCUAACACAUGCAAGUCGAACGGUAACGGGAAGCAGCUUGCUGCUUCGCUGACGAGUGGCGGACGGGUGAGUAAUGUCUGGGAAACUGCCUGAUGGAGGGGGAUAACUACUGGAAACGGUGGCUAAUACCGCAUAACGUCGCAAGACCAAAGAGGGGGACCUUCGGGCCUCUUGCCAUCAGAUGUGCCCAGAU
RNAcentral lists this ribosomal RNA (239 nucleotides) under Salmonella enterica. RNAcentral describes it as "partial 16S ribosomal RNA". It matches the Rfam family "Bacterial small subunit ribosomal RNA", at positions 1 to 236 of the family's 1533-position model. The record is from RNAcentral. Lineage: Bacteria; Pseudomonadati; Pseudomonadota; Gammaproteobacteria; Enterobacterales; Enterobacteriaceae.